CAGUUUCAGUGUUGUAUUAAAUUGCUCCUCCAGCACCUCCUCUCCUCAUCCUCCAAACCCUCUCAUCUGACCCUCAUCUCCCUCUCAAGUGACAAGGCCACUCUCAGCACACACUGCCAACAUGCUGGGGACCCUCUGCACUCUCAUCACCGCUCUAACAUGUGUGAGUGGUGUGACGGUGGUGACACAGAAGCCUCCUGUUGUGACCGUGAGGAAAGGAGAGACAGUCACCAUGGACUGUAACCUGGGGACUGUUGACUAUUAUGCUAACUGGUAUAAACAGAUUCCAGGAGGAGUUCCUCAGCAUGUAGUGAGGUUUCAUCAUGGAUCGAGCUCUCCAACCUAUGGUUCUGGUUUCUCUUCUCCCAAAUUAACAUCCACUCAUCAGUCGACAACAGAUUAUCGUUUGAUCAUAAACAACGUGGAGGAGGGAGACUCUGCUGUUUAUUACUGUAGCGUAUGGGACGGCUCUGCUAGUGAAACUGUAUCACAGUGAUUUACACUGUGACAAAAACCUCCUCACU
Hippoglossus stenolepis (Pacific halibut) is the source of this 524-nucleotide non-coding RNA. The record is from the annotation of a RefSeq genome assembly. Lineage: Eukaryota; Metazoa; Chordata; Actinopteri; Pleuronectiformes; Pleuronectidae.